AGAGAGAGAGAGAGAGAGAGAGAGAGUUAUUCUUUAUAAUUGUAAGUUACUUGUCUAACCUUCAUUCUUCCCUGUGUGCAUUUACCAGCUCAGAAUGUAGAGGAGACUCUGGAAGAGAAUGUGUCCCCAAAUUAAAAAACUGUGAUGUGACCCUUGGCCAAUUUAACUGUGGCUUAAGCAGUCUUAAAUGUCGAUGCUGUGCCGUUUGUCAAAAUCCUGAACAAUGCAGGGCACCCUCAGAGAAACUUGUAAUGAAGGUGAAUUCGAAGCGAGUGAUCACGGAACAUUCUGCAAAUGCUGUCUUCCCUGUGAUUCUGGAAUUUGCGAAGGACGGUGUGUUCUCUCCGCUGAGUUCUGCACGGAGAGCGGCUAUGACUUACAAGGUACUUGUUCUCCUCCUGCAGAAAACUGCCAAUGCUGCAUCUUUCUUGGUUGAUUCAUAUAAAAUGUUCAAGAUAUUAAAGAGGUAGAUUUGAUACGAGUGGGUAUAAUAGCAUCACACAUUUUCUCACAAUAUCUCCUUCCUCCUUCCUAAAGAAUAAUAUGUUGAAAUAUGUAAGCAAGUCUUUUCUAAAAGGUACAUUUUCUUGAAUUUUAAAUUCAUAUAAUUCUAUGUACUGUACAUGCAAAUAAAUUUUUUCUUCAUGAAACUAUA
Molecule: long non-coding RNA, 655 nt
Filed under: Portunus trituberculatus (swimming crab)
Lineage: Eukaryota; Metazoa; Arthropoda; Malacostraca; Decapoda; Portunidae
Description: uncharacterized LOC123512808, transcript variant X2
Source: RNAcentral